This 498-nucleotide ribosomal RNA is filed under the name uncultured bacterium. RNAcentral describes it as "partial 16S ribosomal RNA". It matches the Rfam family "Bacterial small subunit ribosomal RNA", at positions 27 to 507 of the family's 1533-position model. The record is from RNAcentral.
GGAUGAACGCUGGCGGCGUGCCUAAUCCAUGCAAGUCGAGCGAACAGACGAGGAGCUUGCUCCUCUGACGUUAGCGGCGGACGGGUGAGUAACACGUGGAUAACCUACCUAUACGACUGGGAUAACUUCGGGAAACCGGAGCUAAUACCGGAUAAUAUAUUGAACCGCAUGGUUCAAUAGUGAAAGACGGUUUUGCUGUCACUUAUAGAUGGAUCCGCGCCGCAUUAGCUAGUUGGUAAGGUAACGGCUUACCAAGGCGACGAUGCGUAGCCGACCUGAGAGGGUGAUCGGCCACACUGGAACUGAGACACGGUCCAGACUCCUACGGGAGGCAGCAGUAGGGAAUCUUCCGCAAUGGGCGAAAGCCUGACGGAGCAACGCCGCGUGAGUGAUGAAGGUCUUCGGAUCGUAAAACUCUGUUAUUAGGGAAGAACAAAUGUGUAAGUAACUAUGCACGUCUUGACGGUACCUAAUCAGAAAGCCACGGCUAACUACGUG